RNAcentral lists this small RNA (500 nucleotides) under Pan troglodytes (chimpanzee). Its description in RNAcentral is "processed transcript". The record is from RNAcentral. Lineage: Eukaryota; Metazoa; Chordata; Mammalia; Primates; Hominidae.
CGCCACUCCUUCGUCGAGGCAAGACGUGCGCCCGAGCCCCGCUGAACCGAGGCCACCCGGAGCCGUGCCCGGCGGCCUCAAGAACCCGGCAACCUCUGCCUUCUUCCCUCUUCCACUCGGAGUCGCGCUCCGCGCGCCCUCACUGCAGCCCCUGCGUCGCCGGGACCCUCGCGCGCGACCGCCGAAUCGCUCCUGCAGCAGAGGCCGAUACAAAGCAGGGGAAAAGGAGCCAGAUCCCAAGACGUGGAAGGCCAACUUUCGCUGUGCCAUGAACUCCCUGCCAGAUAUCGAGGAGGUGAAAGACCAGAGCAGGAACAAGGGCAGCUCAGCUGUGCGAGUGUACAGGAUGCUUCCACCUCUCACCAAGAACCAGAGAAAAGAAAGAAAGUCGAAGUCCAGCCGAGAUGCUAAGAGCAAGGCCAAGAGGAAGUCAUGUGGGGAUUCCAGCCCUGAUACCUUCUCUGAUGGACUCAGCAGCUCCACUCUGCCUGAUGACCACA